This 1626-nucleotide unclassified non-coding RNA is filed under the name Hevea brasiliensis (rubber tree). Lineage: Eukaryota; Viridiplantae; Streptophyta; Magnoliopsida; Malpighiales; Euphorbiaceae. The record is from RNAcentral.
GUCACCGCUACCGUGACGGUCUUCUUUCAUUAAAAUACUCAUUUCCACACAGAACAAAAUUAUUAGAAAAAAAAAAAAACUGAUAAUGAAACACAUCCAUAUUUCUUCCCGCCGAUACAAAAAUUUACCAGCAAACAAGCAAUGCCGGUUCAAAUGGCUAUGAGAGGAUCAGACCCAAAUAAAUCCCCGAUAUCUUGGAAAUGGUCUUCCACAUUCCAGUUUGAGAAUCCAAAACCGAAAUCCCCAAUGGAGUCCACAAGCAUGUCCUCGAAAUCGUCUUUUAGAAAUCCGUCUAGCAUACUCGUUUCGUUGAAUAUGUCCCGCAUGGAACUCUGAAAGUCAAAAUUAUCGUUGGGAAACAAAGUGUUGAUGGAAGAAUACUCUGAGAACUCCAAGAAAUUCUCCGAUACGCUCGAUUCUUCUUUGGUUUCUCGGGCUUCUUUGCUGGAAAGGCCGCUUUGAGAUUCGGCUUCUUCGUUGGAGGAAGUUGAGGAUGGAAACCUAAGAACUGAAGUUGGAGAGCAGAUAAUGUUGUUGAUAUGAGACUCAUCGCCGGAGUUGUAGCCUGAGCUAACUGUCGGCUUUAUUGGCGGCGAACAUUUCGCUGGAGGGGUAACAAAGUUUGUGAGCGCGUGUGGUCCACGCAACUGGAUAGCCGCGUUGUCAUAUACCAUGGCAGCUUCUUCAGCAGUGUCGUACGUACCCAACCACAACCGUACACGUCGCAGAGGAUCCCUGAUCUCCGCCGCCCAUUUUCCCCAAGGUCUCUGUCUCACACCUCUGAACCUCCUGCCUGUUCCAGGGGCUGCAACCUUUAGCGGCCGCAGACUUACCGGACCACCGCUCGAUUUUCCAGCAGAACACUUUCGAUUGCCACUCCUCGAUGACCUGCUUCUCCAUGUAGCAUCGUUUUCGCUUGAACAUGACUCUAUUGUAAUCUCGUUAACAAAUUUCUUCAUUCUCUGUCGCCUAUGGACCUCACCUUCUUCGUCACUGGAGGAGUCAGUAGCGUCUGCAUCUGUUACUGAUAUCCGCACAACUCUAGGUGGUUUGGCCUCCGGGGCCGGAUUUGACAAUGGCCUUACAAGUUUGGUGUGAUUUCGGUGCUCACUGAACUUGACUGGAUUCAUUGACAUCACACUAUCUCGAUCCAUUUCGAAGGGUUUUUCGUUCUCUUUUCCUUUUGAGGUUUUGGGUUCUUUCAGAUUCGCAUUCAAAGUGAAGUGAACGUUGGGGAGAGGGAGCAGGAGAGCGUGAAAUAUAAGGGAGAAAAGAAAAGGGAGGAGAUUCCUUUGAGACCGGACACGAGGGAGAAUAAAGAAACAGAGACAGAGGAUAUAAUGAAAGUUGAGAGAAACACAACGUCAAAGAGAAGCUUGAAACGGAGAGGAUUGAAUACUCUCUCUAUCUCUCUCAAAAAGUGUCAUUAAAGGACGAGAAAUUUCAAGGAAAGUAGAACUAAAAAAGAGAGUGUCUGUGCCUAUGUGAGAGAUGUGAAAAUGUUAAACUAGACUGAAGUAACCCAAACUGAGUAAAGAUUAAAGAAAAGUACGGAAAGCAGACACGGAGACAUGGAGAGUAAAUGAGAGAGUGAACAAGAACCGGUAGUAAUACAAAGCAAAAGUA